UUUUUUUUUUUUUUUUUUUUUUUUUUUUCCUUUUUCUUUUUUUCUUUUCGGUUUUCUCGGUCCAGGCCCAGAGGGGCUCUUCGUUUUUUUACCCUAAUUAUGUCCUUUAAAUGCUGCAUUAAUUACUGUGCAUGUCAGAGAGAGAGAGAGAGAGAGAGGGGAAUACGGACAGUCAAAACGCCGGAACAGCCAAGAGCCACCACUAGCCACCACUCAGCCCCUUUCCUCCUCCGAGAACCACCACCAUCGGCCGAGCCCAGCCAUCGGCCGAGCCAACACAGCCACUGAACCACCACCAUCGGCCGAGCCCAGCCAUCGGCCGAGCCAACACAGCCACCGAAAACCACCAUCGGCCAAGCCCAGCCAUCGGCCGAGCCAACACAGCCACCGUGAACCACCAACACCGCAAACACAGUAACCCACUCACUCACGCGGCCUAAAACCUACAUCAAAACCACCACCAACGGCCAGGCCCACACCAAACACCACCAACCACAAGUACUACGUCAAACACCCACACCCACACAACCCAAGCCGUAACCGUUUUCUGAAGCUUAAACGAUAACAUAAGGACAAAGGUAGUUCACCUUUUUUCUAAGAUUCAAGGCUAGAUCUAGGCUUUAUCAGUGUUGGUUUUCAAAAAAUAACGGUGGAUUUGAGAACUAGGGGAAAAAAGGAAUUCAAAACAUGUAGUUUUUUUAAAAAAAGAGGAGUUUCUUUUUCCGACGCGGCGGCGCCGCCACCCAUGGCCGGCCAGCCACUGCGCCGGUAAACAGCUUCCGGCGGUGUGUGGUUAGAGAGAGAAGAGAGCUUCUGAGCGUUUCUUUAGAGAGAGGAAGAAGUUGGAUUUAUGUUAUUUUAGGGUUUAUUUUCUAAUUUAUACUGCUGCCAUGACCAAUACUAUGGUGCACGCGGAUCUCUGUGUCCCCAUGGACCAUCAGGGUUGAACCGUUAGAUCCUAGAUCUAACGGCCAAUGUUAUCCCCUGUUUUGAUCAGAUGCGUCUCACCUCUUGGUUUUUACUUUGUUCUUCUUCUCUUGUGACGUCUGAUUAAGAUCUAAUGGCUAAGACUGUGUCUCCCCAUGAUCAAAUCUGGACGCUUCGAUCAAUCUGACGAUUCAGAUUUGAUCUGUUAAGCCCACUUUUUAUUUUGAGCCCAUUUCCUUUUUUCUGUUCCUUCUAGUAUUUUACUUUCUGCACCCCCUUUUCUUCUCUAUUCUUUUUUUUUAUUACUUUUUUAUGCAUCAUAUUUACUUUAUGCCCUUGCAUUUUUUUUAUUUUCUUUAUUUAUUUUCCAGCACCAUAUCUAUUUUACGUCUUGCAUUUUAUUUUCCAGUAUCAUAUUUAUUUAUUUUUUUUUUUGUCUUGCAUUUUUAUUUUGUUUAUUUUUAUUUUAUGCAUCAUAUUUACUUUAUGUCUUGCAUUUUUUUAUUUAUUUUUAGCGUCAUGUUUAUUUUAUGUCUUGCAUUUUUAUUUUCUUUUAUUUUAUUUCCAGCAUUAUAUUUAUUUUUAUGUCAUUUUUAUUUUCUUUUAUUUUAUUUCCAGCAUUAUAUUUAUUUUUAUGUCUUGCAUUUUUUAUUUAUUUUUAGCAUCAUGUUUAUUUUAUGUCUUGCAUUUUUAUUUUCUUUUAUUUAUUUCCAGCAUUAUAUUUAUUUUUAUGUCUUGCAUUUUAUUUUCUUUAUUUAUUUUAUGCACCAUAUGUAUUUCUUGUUUUGUAUUUCAUGCAUUUUAUUAUUUCUUCUAGCAUAUUUAUUUUAAUGCAUUUGAAAUUUUUAUUUAUUAUUGUCAAUUAGAAUGUAUCUAGGUCCAAUGUAAAUAAAAAUAAAAAUGAGAAUAUGCACCGACACUCACAUUUAUUUUUAUGUUUUCCGCCGAGGACGAUCAUGUGAUUUGAACCGUAUCCGAGGAAAAGGACCCUCACUUGAUCCAACGUCAUUUUAAGGGAUCCGGCGCGUUUAGACUUAUCUCCGCAUAAUUUCCAAAAAAAAAAAAAAAAAAAAAAAAAAAAAGGGGGAUCAAUCUUUAUUCUUUCUUUCUUAAUCAAAUCUUUAAUCAAUCUUUAAUCAAUCAAAACAUUUUUUCAAAUUUAAAAUCAAUCGAACUCACUUCUUUUAUUUCUUCUAUGCCUUCUCGGUCUCUUACCUUGCCUAAACUCUCCUUUUUUUCGAACUUUAAAAUCAAUCAAAACCAACCACUCGACUUUCUACCCCGAACUACAUGAUUUUGAUCCCAUUCGGGUAUGUAGGCAAAAGACUUUGUCUUUCCAAAUCAAUAAAAAAUAAACAAAAACUUUUUCCUUCUCCUUUCUUUUUAACCCAUCUCUUUAAUCUUUCCACACUUGAGCAUUUAUUUCCAAACAAAUAAUUAAUUUAGCAUAAAGAUAAAAUAAGCAAGAGGUUCCUAUAGAGUACUAUAGACGUUUAGGGUGCUAGUACCUUCCCUUUGCGUAACCAACCCCCGGACCUUUGAUCUCUUAAAAAAUAGGGUUUUUCGAGCUUUCUCCCUUUUCUUCGGAAAAAUAAAAGAUCGGUGGUGAUCUUAAAAAAUGCGAGUCAAUGCUAAUCAAUAGCUUGAUAUCCAAAAAUCACCGCGACAGAAAAAUGGCGACUCCACUGGGGAUCACACUCCUAAGUGGGUUAAACCUAUCUUGUUUUUCUUCAUCUUUAUGCUUUAUUAUUAUUUGAAACUGUAAAUACGUGCUUAAGUGUUUAUCUUUUACGUGAGUGGUGAGAUAAGUCCUACACCCGGACUUGAGGGAAACAUAAGAUAGGAUGGUGGUAUAAUCAUAGUGUCUUUCCGAGAGUGAGUUUCGGAUGUGGCACAUGUGAUAACCCCGCUCAAUGGAGGGAUCUUGGGAAUAUUACUAUGUUGGCAUGAGUAGUCGUGUUCAGCAUUAAUAUUUCCAAGCGACCUAUGAAGUUGAGGACCUUUAGUUACCUUUAGCCCAUCUUAGCCUUUUAGGACGUAGUGCGGUGGCUAAUCAAGAGUAGUCUUGAAUUGGUUGAUACGCGAUACUACACUCAAACGAGGCUUUCCUAUGGACGUCGUUGGACCGGGAGUAGUCCCGUAAUCCGACAAUAUCCGGAAGUGGUCAAUGACUUUGGGAACUUGGUAGAACCCGUGAUACAGGCACAUAUGAAACCAUAGUCCUUACCAAAUGGCGUGUUUACCCUUAACUCCAACAUUUUGGACUUAACUUCACCAUAUUUUCUCCAUACUUUGGCAUAAUCAUGCAUACAUGCAUCCAUGCAUAAACUCUUUUUUCAUCCAAAUUAUCGAAGGACUUAGACAAGCUUUUUGUAAACUUUGUAGAUAUGGACAUCCCACUGAGAAGCACUAGGAAGUACCUUUUCAAAAAAACAGACCUGUUGAGAUUAAGGGAGCUAGCAUCUUUAGUAAGUGAUCCAGUUGAUUUUCAAGCUCAUCAUGGGAAGUUGCUCAGAAUUCUUAGAGUAGAUGUUGAGGAAGGAUGCCUAGAGACCCUGGUUCAGUUCUAUGACCCGCUCUACCAUUGCUUCACAUUUCCCGAUUACCAGCUUGUCCCCACACUUGAAGAGUACUCCUACCUAGUUGGUUUACCCGUGCCAGACAAGAUACCUUUCCAUGGUUUUGAGCCUACCCCUAAACCCUCCGACAUCGCAGCCGCCCUCCAUCUUAAAACCUCUAUCAUCCAAGCAAACCUUACCUCUAAAGGAGGCCUCCAAGGUCUUCCCACCCACUUCCUCUACCAACAAGCCUCCAUAUUUGCUGAAGCAGCUAGCAUACUUGCCUUCCAUUCUAUCCUAGCCCUCCUUAUAUAUGGCCUUUUACUCUUCCCAAAUAUUGACAACUUCAUCGAUAUCAAUGCCAUUAAAAUCUUUCUUACAAAGAACCCCGUACCCACUCUACUCGCCGAUACCUACCAUUCUAUCCAUGACCGUACCCAGGCUGGCCGUGGAACCAUUUCUUGUUGUGCACCCUUACUCUAUCAGUGGUUUACCUUCCACUUACCUCAAUCCCGUGCCUUCAAGACCAAUGAUGAUAAGCUUUCUUGGCCUCGCCGAAUCAUGACUCUUGACCCAUCUGACAUUGUUUGGUACCAAGCAGCUAGUGAUGUUGGAGAGAUUAUUGUGAGUUGUGGUGAAUAUCCCAACGUACCUCUUUUGGGUAUGCGUGGCGGAAUUAGCUACAACCCGCUUCUCGCUCGACGACAAUUUGGGUACCCGAUAAAGACAAAACCAAACAACCUUGCCUUGACUAAUGAAUUCUAUCUUAACCAUGGAGAUCACUCGAACAAAAGGGAAAGAUUCGCACAAGCUUGGAGCGCUAUCCGCAGACUCAACAGAAGUCAGUUGGGAAAGAAAUCAGACUAUGUGCACGAAUCUUAUACCCAGUGGGUUAUUGAUAGGACCAAGAGCUUUGGCCUACCCUACCGCUUACCCAGAUACCUAUCGUCCACCAUCCCACCAUCAUCCUUGCCUAUCCCCUUUGAUACUAAGGAAGAGUUUCAUGAACAAUUAACCAAAGAAAGGCAAGAAAAAGAAACUUGGAAGAGGAGAUACCAGGAGCUCGAGCAAGAGAAUGAGAUUUUGAAGGGGAAGAUAGCCCAACAGAGCCGUGAGCUUUUUAUCCAGAACCAGAGGAUGAUUGAGAAGGACGACUUGCUUCGUCGGAAAGACGCUUUGCUCCACCGAGAUGCUAGAAGAAAGAGGAGGUUUAUGGAUUUGUUCUCCCGUGCACAUUCAGAUUCCGAGGAUCCAUCUACUCCGGGAGUUUGAGUCUGAAGUUCUUAGGACCUUAUGUUUAGAUUUUAGCUCCCGAAAUCUCUUGGCUUAAAAUAAAAAAAAAAAAAAAAAAUUUCUUUGUAAUAUUCCAAUGCUUAAGUGAAGUGUUUCAGUUUAUGAUGUUUACAAUUUCUCUAACAAGUUCUUCGAUAAUAAUUUGUUCCUUUCCUUUUUGCAUAAGCAUAAGCAUGCAUUCAUGGUUCCUAAAUCGAGUCUCACACUGUGUUCACUGCUUCAAAAGGGGAUCAACCGCCGCCCAAGGAAAGUGGCCCGACGAAUUCUCCACAAACCAACUCGCAUUUACAACACCAGGGCCAAUCGGAAGAGGAUGGAUAUAGUUGAACAAGAAAAUCAGAGUCUCAGGGAGGAGGUUGCCACUCUACGAGAGGGAAUGGAUAGGUUGACGACCAUGAUGAGUGCACUCCUGUCAGCCCAGAACUCUCAAGCUGCCGCCGCUACUGUAGAGCAGCCUUUGGUGAGCACAACCCCACUAUCUACGGUGACUUCUCCACCCCUCUUUUUGCCUCCAGGUUGUACAUGGGGAAUGCCACCUCCAGUCUGUGGAAGCUCCCAGCCCGCUGUAUCUGAAGCUCCACCUCCUUUUGCUCAGCAAUCAGCACCGGUUCCGCAACCCAGUACCUCUUUCCCUCAAGCUGCAAUGACUUAUUCAGCUCCACUGAUUCACACUAUUCAACAAGAGGUUGAACCAAUUUUCCAAGCUGAAAAUGUUGUAGCCUUCGAAAAGAUGGAAGAACUCCAAGAAAGAUUUGAUGGUAUGCAAAGGGAAGUCGAAGCCCUCCGAGGAAGAGAUCUGUUCGGGAAGGACGCCUGUGAAUUAUGCUUGGUCCCAAAUGUUACUAUCCCUCACAAGUUCAAGGUGCCAGACUUCGAGAAGUAUAAAGGGAACUCUUGUCCCCGCAGUCACUUGGUGAUGUACGCACGGAAAAUGUCCAUGUAUACUGACAAUCAUAAGCUGCUUAUUCAUUUCUUUCAGGACAGCCUGACUGGGGCCGCUCUGAAGUGGUAUAUGAAUUUGGACAGUGCGAGCAUUCGUACGUUCAAUGACCUGGGUGAAGCGUUCAUCCGACAGUAUAAGUACAAUUUGGACAUGGUCCCAGAUCGUGAUCAGCUCCGUGCGAUGACACAAAAAGAGAAGGAAACGUUCAAGGAGUAUGCUCAACGUUGGAGGGAAGUGGCUGCCCAGAUUGUCCCGCCGUUGGAAGAAAGGGAAAUGACUAAAAUAUUUCUGAAGACCCUGAGCCAGUUUUAUUACGAGAAAAUGGUUGCAAGUGCACCAACAGACUUCACUGAAAUGGUCAACAUGGGUGUGCGAUUAGAGGAAGGUGUCCGAGAGGGACGUUUGACUGUGGAAAGUACCCCUGCCGCAAGUAAUGCCAAGAAGUUUGGAGGCCACUUUGCGAAGAAGAAAGAUCAAGAGGUGGGAAUGGUAGCUCAUGGUAAGCCUCAGCAGAAUUUCACCCCAUAUCGUCAGGUUGCGAAUGUCGCAUCCACUAUCCCGAACCCAUCAUAUCACCAACAAAGGCCACAUUACCCCUACCAAUACCCUCCACAACAAUACCCUCCACAACAAUACCCUCCACAACAAUACCCUCCACAACAAUACCCUCCACAACAAUAUCCUCCACAGCAAUACCAUCAGCCACAAUACCCUCAAAAACAACAAAAUCGCCCGCAGACCCCCCAACAACCAUAUCACUCACAAAACCGCCAGAAAACAACCUUUGAUCCGAUCCCGAUGAAAUAUGCUGACUUACUCCCCGCCCUGCUCGCCAAAAACCUUGUCCAGGUCAGAACACCCCCUCGUACACCAGAUGUUUUACCUCCCUGGUUUCGCCAUGAUUUAACCUGUGCUUUCCACCAAGGGGCCCCAGGUCACGACGUUGAAAACUGCUAUGUCCUGAAGAAUGAAGUGCAAAAACUAGUCCGGGCCAACUUGCUAUCCUUUAAAGAUCAGAAUCCCAAUGUUCAGGCGAACCCUCUACCGAACCAUGGGCCUGCUGUUAACAUGAUACAAGAUUGUGAUGAAGACGGUGUCAUCCUGAACGUCCAGCACGUUCGAACUCCCCUGGUCCCAAUACAUAUCAAGAUGUGCGAGGCAGCUCUGUUUGACCAUGAUCAUGCAGCGUGUGAAAUAUGUCCUGUGAAUGUAAAAGGAUGCCCGAAGGUACAAGAGGACGUACAAGGGCUGAUAGACAGCAGAGAACUUAUCAUCACGAGGAAGGACAAAGAAGUGUGCGUCAUCACCCCCGAGUUUCAGCGGUUGGAAAUAAGCUAUAACAGUGGGGAAUCCACUACUACUCCACUGGUGAUUAGCUUGCCAGGACCUAUGCCGUAUGCUUCUCUAAAAGCGGUUCCUUACAAGUAUAGUGCCACGAUGUUGGAAGGUGGACAGGAGGUGCCUUUGCCCUCUCUAACUCCUGCGGUUUCUGUGGACAACAUUGCUAAUGACGGUAAAGUUCUGAGGAAUGGACGUGUUAUCCCCACAUUGUUUGCAAAGAAAGUGAAUGAUCCGGCAGUUAAACAGGUGACAGUGAACGGCCCCGGUACAAGGAAGGAAGUAGGCCAGUCCAAUGGGACUAGUAAGAAUUCUGAUCAUGACGAAAUUCUGAAACUGAUCCAGAAGAGUGAGUAUAAAGUAGUAGACCAGCUGCUGCAAACUCCCUCUAAGAUAUCCAUUUUGUCUCUGCUAUUGAACUCAGAAGCACACCGUGAGGCUCUAAUGAAAGUGUUGGACCAAGCUUUUGUGGAGAGGGACGUGACUGUUAAUCAAUUGGACAGUAUAGUAGGAAACAUUACUGCCUGCAAUAAUUUAAGUUUUAGUGAUGAAGAACUUCCUGAGGAGGGGAGGAACCACAAUCUGGCGUUACAUAUAUCGGUGAACUGCAAGUCUGAUGCUCUGUCGAAUGUACUUGUGGACACUGGUUCCUCAUUGAAUGUAAUGGCCAAAUCCACAUUAGAUCAACUUUCCUACCGGGGGCCUCCCAUGAGAAGAAGCGGGGUGGUUGUCAAAGCGUUUGAUGGAUCAAGAAAGUCUGUUAUCGGGGAGGUUGAUUUGCCCAUUACAAUUGGGCCGUUUGUUUUCCAAAUUACAUUCCAGGUGAUGGAUAUCCAAGCCGCAUACAGUUGCCUUUUGGGUAGGCCAUGGAUCCAUGAAGCUGGGGCCGUGACAUCCACCUUGCAUCAAAAGCUGAAGUUUGUCAGAAAUGGGAAAUUGAUCACUGUGAGUGGAGAGGAAGCCUUGUUGGUUAGUCAUUUGUCAGCUUUUUCCUUUAUUGGUGCUGAUGAAACAGAAGGAACCUCUUUCCAAGGCCUGACUUUAGAGGGUAAAAAGCCAGAGAGAAAUGAAGUAUCUUUUGCUACUUGGAAGAGCGCACAGAAAGUGGUGCAGGAAGGAACAGGUGUAGGAUGGGGAAAAGUUGUGCAGUUGCUGGAGAGUAAAAACCGUGAAGGACUAGGAUUUGCUUCUUCUGCAGGAUCCGCAACGAACAGUGUUGGAUCAAGCUCCAUUACUAGCACCUUUUGUAGCGCCGGGUUCAUCAACAACUCGCCAGAAGCCAAUGCUGUCUUGGAAGAUGCUCCUGAAGAGAUAGUGCUUGCAUUUGUCACACCUGGAAAACUUGUUCGCAACUGGGACGCGGUUGACAUCCCUUCAGUGGUUCAUGCAUCAAAGUAAUGUGUCUUUGUUUUUCUGUUUGUUUGUUUUUCAAAAAAGGAUCCUUUCGUCUUGCCCAGGACGAAAGCGCAAUUAUGUAGGGCUGUUUUGUUUCAAGCACUACUCUUAUUAAUGGAAAAUGUGGUUUAUCCCGAUAUCUAUGCUUAUUGCUCUUUCUGGAAAAUGGUAACACAAAAAACCCAAAAUAUUUUAUUUUUGUUUUCUGAUUUCAAUUAAUUAUAAAAAGUCCGCAUUGUUCACUCAUUUUCUAAAAUCAAUCAUCAAUCAUAUGCAGACUAGGCAUUUAUGAGCCCGUUGAACAUAAUAACCCUGCACUCUCUCCCAACUACGAAUCUCCUGUCUACGAGGCUGAAGAGGAGGAGGAUGAUGAAAUCCCGGAGGAACUUGCUCGGUUAUUGGAAUAUGAAAAGAAAACCAUUCAGCCUCAUGAGGAGGUAGUAGAGGUGAUUAACUUGGGAACCGAGGAAGAUAAGAAGGAAGUCAAGAUUGGGGCAUCGCUUGAGGCAACUGUCAAACGAAGGGUGAUUGAAUUACUCAAAGAAUACGUCGAUGUGUUCGCAUGGUCGUACCAAGAUAUGCCCGGCUUGGAUCCCCGUAUUGUGGAGCACCGUUUGCCUUUGAAGCCCGAAUGCCCACCAGUCAAACAGAAACUGAGAAGAACUCGCCCUGACAUGGCUCUUAAGAUCAAAGAGGAAGUACAGAAGCAGAUCGAUGCAGGUUUUCUUGUCACAUCAGAGUAUCCCCAAUGGUUAGCCAACAUAGUGCCUGUUCCAAAGAGGGACGGCAAGGUCAGGAUGUGCGUUGACUACCGGGAUUUGAACAAGGCUAGUCCGAAAGAUGACUUUCCUCUACCUCACAUCGAUGUAUUGGUUGACAGCGCUGCAAAGUCCAAGGUCUUCUCCUUCAUGGACGGUUUCUCUGGGUACAAUCAGAUCAAGAUGGCAGUUGAAGAUAGAGAAAAGACAUCUUUCAUCACGCCUUGGGGCACCUUUUGUUACAGGGUAAUGCCCUUUGGGUUGAUAAAUGCAGGUGCCACUUACCAAAGAGGCAUGACCACUCUCUUUCAUGACAUGAUGCACAAAGAGAUAGAAGUGUACGUGGAUGAUAUGAUUGUCAAGUCAGGCACUGAAGAAGAACAUGUCGAGUACUUGCUGAAGAUGUUUCAACGGCUGAGAAAGUACCAACUUCGACUGAAUCCCAACAAAUGUACCUUUGGUGUUAGAUCUGGAAAACUCUUGGGCUUCAUUGUCAGUCAGAAAGGUAUUGAAGUAGAUCCUGACAAAGUCAAGGCCAUUAGAGAAAUGCCGAUUCCACAAACAGAGAAACAAGUGAGAGGUUUUCUUGGGCGUCUAAAUUACAUUUCUCGUUUCAUCUCACACAUGACAGCCACGUGCGGACCUAUAUUCAAGUUGCUUCGAAAAGAUCAAGGGGUUGUUUGGACCGAAGAUUGUCAAAAGGCUUUUGAUAGUAUCAAGAAUUAUCUGCUAGAACCUCCAAUUCUUAUACCUCCAGUUGAAGGAAGGCCUCUGAUUAUGUACUUGACUGUGUUAGAAGAUUCUAUGGGCUGUGUGCUCGGACAACAGGAUGAGACCGGAAGGAAAGAACAUGCUAUCUACUACUUGAGCAAGAAGUUUACCGAUUGUGAGUCCAGGUACUCCCUACUUGAGAAAACUUGUUGUGCACUAGCUUGGGCUGCCAAGCGUCUUCGUCACUACAUGAUUAACCACACCACCUGGCUAAUAUCCAAGAUGGACCCGAUCAAGUAUAUCUUCGAGAAACCCGCUCUGACAGGAAGAAUUGCUCGUUGGCAGAUGUUGUUAUCCGAGUAUGAUAUCGAAUACCGCACCCAGAAGGCAAUUAAGGGAAGUGUUCUUGCUGAUCAUUUGGCUCACCAACCAAUUGAGGACUAUCAACCCAUCAAGUUUGACUUUCCUGAUAAAGAGAUUAUGCACUUGAAGAUGAAGGAUUGUGAUGAACCAUUGCUUGGAGAAGAUCCAGAUCCCGAGUCUAAAUGGGGUUUGAUUUUUGAUGGAGCCGUGAAUGUCUUUGGCAAUGGAAUUGGGGCAGUUAUUAUCACUCCUGAAGGUAAUCAUCUCCCUUUCGCCGCAAGGUUACAGUUUGAUUGCACCAACAAUGUGGCAGAGUAUGAAGCAUGUAUCCUGGGCAUUGAAAAAGCCAUUGACUUGAAAAUCAAGAACCUUGACAUUUACGGGGAUUCAGCUCUCGUAAUCAACCAAAUCAAAGGAGAAUGGGAAACUCGCCACCCCGGCUUGAUUCCAUACAAAGAUUAUGCAAGGCAUUUGCUAACCUUCUUCAACAAAGUGGAGCUUCACCACAUCCCUCGUGAUGAGAACCAGAUGGCAGAUGCGUUAGCAACUUUAUCCUCCAUGUACGAAGUGAAUCACCGGAACAAUUUGCCAACAAUCAGAAUUCAGCGCCUCGAGAGGCCCGCCCACGUGUUUGCAGUCGAAGAGGUUGUUGAUGAUAAGCCCUGGUUCCAUGAUAUCAAGUGUUUCCUUCAAAGCCAGGAAUAUCCACCCGAAGUAUCCAACAAAGACAGGAGAACUUUGAGAAGAUUGUCUGGUAAUUUCUUCCUAAAUGGGGAUGUUUUGUACAAAAGAAACUUUGACAUGGUACUACUCAGGUGUGUGGAUAAGCAAGAAGCAGAAUUUUUGAUGCACGAGGUACAUGAAGGCUCCUUUGGAACUCACUCCAAUGGACAUGCAAUGGCAAAGAAGUUGUUGAGAGCAGGUUACUACUGGAUGUCGAUGGAGACAGAUUGUUGCAAGCACGCUAGGAAGUGCCACAAAUGCCAGAUUUAUGCUGACAGAAUUCAUGUACCACCAACUACACUUAAUGUUCUUUCUUCUCCAUGGCCUUUCUCUAUGUAGGGCAUCGAUAUGAUUGGUAGAAUCGAACCGAAGGCUUCAAACGGGCAUCGUUUCAUUCUAGUGGCUAUUGAUUACUUCACCAAGUGGGUUGAAGCAGCAUCUUAUGCAAAUGUGACUAAGCAAGUUGUGGUCCGCUUUAUUAAGAAUCAAAUCAUCUGCCGUUAUGGUGUGCCCAACAGAAUCAUUACAGAUAAUGGAACGAACUUGAAUAACAAGAUGAUGAAAGAUUUGUGUGAAGAGUUCAAGAUUGAGCAUCACAAUUCUUCUCCUUACAGACCUCAGAUGAAUGGCGCAGUUGAAGCUGCAAACAAGAAUAUCAAGAAGAUAGUGCAGAAGAUGGUGGUCACAUACAAAGACUGGCAUGAGAUGCUACCGUAUGCUUUGCAUGGGUAUCGCACUUCGGUGCGUACUUCAACAGGGGCAACCCCCUUCUCUUUGGUGUAUGGUAUGGAAGCAGUACUCCCUGUGGAGGUUGAGAUUCCAUCAAUGAGAGUUCUAAUGGAGGCCCAGUUAUCAGAAGCUGAAUGGUGCCAAAGCAGAUAUGAUCAGUUGAAUCUAAUUGAAGAAAAACGCAUGAAAGCCUUGUGCCACGGACAACUUUAUCAACAGAGGAUGAAGCAAGCUUUCGACAAGAAGGUUCGUCCUCGUGUGUUUCAAGAAGGAGAUCUUGUGCUCAAGAAGGUUUUAUCUUUCCAACCCGAUUCUAGGGGCAAGUGGACGCCUAAUUACGAAGGCCCAUAUGUCGUCAAGAGAACUUUCUCUGGUGGUGCACUGACUCUUACGACUAUGGAUGGGGAUGAGCUCCCUCGUCCCGUGAAUGCGGAUGCAGUCAAGAAAUACUUUGUCUAAAAAUAAAAGAACAGCUCGAUAAGUCGAAAACCCGAAAGGGCGGCUUAGGCAAAAAUGAGCGUCUCGGUGGGUCGAAAACCCGAAAGGGCGGCCCAGGCAAAAAUUAGAGACAUCAAACAGAAAAAUAAUUAGCCUGAUAGGUCGAAAACCCGAAAGGGCGAUCUAUGCAAAAUUUAAGGACCAAAAGACAAAGUAACUGCAUCGAGUUGAUCUUCGUUCAUUUGAGACACAAUGGAAUGUCAGGGAGACCCUGAAUCUGAAGCAUCCAAACAGUGGAAUUCAAGGUUGUCAGAGGGAACAACGGUUAUUGUGUUCAAUGAACCUUCGAUUUAUAUUUACCAUUUUCCAAACUUUGUAAGAUCAGUGGAGCCAUGCCAUUGGCAGGUCACCACUCUUUCAAAUAAAUUUGAGCCUGUUGCCUUUCAUUUGGAAUUCUCAUUUAUUCAGCUUAUAAAACCUUUCCUUUUUAUGGUAGCAUUUGAAACAAAAUAUUUCUCAAAAUCAUAAAUUUUCUUUCGUGUCUUUUUGAAAAGCACAAACAACAAAACACUUUUUCUUUGAACUCGUGAAUAGAUGAAGGGUGUCUCAACAGCUACCAUGAGAAUGGGUAAACCUUGCAGGUUGCACGAGGUCAAUUGUUUUUUUCAAAAAAAAAAAAAAAAAAAUAAAUAAAUAAAUAAAUAAUAAGCAUGACCACAGAAGCACCAGCUCUUCUACCAUGUUUUUCGGAUUGGCACGUUCUCCCCAAGAAAUGUUUAUUCCCCAUCAGUUGCUGCGGACUUUACCCCGUCGCUAUUUUGAUAUACCCUAGUGGCAUCAUCCCCAUUGAAGGUUGCAGAGUGUUUGUGAUGCGACGUCGGGUCACUUUCAAUCUUACCUGUCCAACCUUGUUCCACCAAAUCUAUCAUUCACACAAUCAUACAAGUCAAUCCUCCAUACAGUCAUACAAGUCGUGUCGUCAUUCGGGCAUUCAUACGUUCAUGCGUAUACACAUUCAUGCAUAUACAAUAAAGACAAUAUCAUGCGUACAUGGCUGCAUUAACCAUCAUGAGUCUUGCUUCAUUUAUCUUUUCAUUUCAAUCAAUCAUGAAUAAUUUGUAACCUUCUAUUUCCCCGAGUGUCAUCCCCAAUGGAUCUGAUCCAAAGGUGUCACCCUCUCUCCGUCAAGUGGCAAUUUCUUUAAUGAACAGCUUGUGCAUCAUUUGCCUCUGUUUCAUGUCAUCAGUUGAUUAGUUCGGCAAUAACCCGAGCAGUUGACAUCUAUCUUUGUUUCUUAUCAGUUGACUAGUUCGGCAAUAACCCGAGCAGUUGACAUCUAUCUUUGUUUCUUAUCAGUUAAUUAGUUCGGUAAUAACCCGAGCAGUUGACAUCUAUCUUUGUUUCUUAUCAGUUGACUAGUUCGGCAAUAACCCGAGCAGUUGACAUUUAUCUUUGUUCUUAUCAGUUAAUUAGUUCGGCAAUAACCCGAGCAGUUGACAUUUAUCUUUGUUUUUUGUCAGUUGACUAGUUCGGCAAUAACCCGAACAGUUGACAUUUAUCUUUGUUUCUUAUCAGUUGAUUAGUUCGGCAAUAACCCGGACAGUUGAUAUUUAUCUUUGUUUUUUGUCAGUUGACUAGUUCGGCAAUAACCUGAACAGUUGACAUUUAUCUUUGUUUCUUGUCAGUUGAUUAGUUCAGCAAUAACCUGAACAGUUGACAUUUAUCUUUGUUUCUUGUCAGUUGAUCAGUUCGGCAAUAACCCGGACAGUUGAUAUUUAUCUUUGUUCCUUGUCAGUUGAUCAGUUCGGCAAUAACCCGGACAGUUGAUAUUUAUCUUUGUUCCUCAUCAGUUGGCUAGUUCGGCAAUAACCCGGACAGUUGAUAUUUAUCUUUGUUCCUCAUCAGUUGGCUAGUUCGGCAAUAACCCGGACAGUUGAUAUUUAUCUUUGUUUUUUUGUCAGAUUGGCUAGUUCGGCAAUAACCCGGACAGUUGAUAUUUAUCUUUGUUUUUUGUCAGAUUGGCUAGUUCGGCAAUAACCCGAACAGUUAACAUUUAUCUUCAAUUCUGGUCAGUUGGCUAGUUCGGCAAUAACCCGAACAUCUGACAUUUAUCUUUGUUCCUUUGUCGUCAGUGGCAGUUCGUCGUCAACCCGAACAGCUGACAUUUACCCCCAGUAAAACCAUGUGAUCCCCAGUCGGACCCCUUUUCUUUAACAAAAUCGGGUACCAUUUGGUUUUGUUAUUCCCAGUCGAGCCAUUUACCUCGUCUUGCAUUCAUACUUGCAUCGCAAGCAUUCGCAACAUUACGUGCAUAACAGUGCAUUCAUAGCAUUUUGUAGUUGAAAUUGGUCAAAAAUGGUGUACUCUGUAUUUAAAUCUCUUCGACCCGUCGCUUUAAAAGUUUCACUUUUAAAUCUCCGUAACGAAGAGACUUAAAUAGGGGCAUCUGUCAUACCCCAUUUUUGACCCGUUUUUAUUUCUUUUUUCUCGUCUUUUAAGCCGGAAAUUUCCAUCAUUUCAGAUGAAAUUUCGGCAGGGAGGUAUUUUAAAAUACCUCAUUUUUGUUUUGAAGACGCCCCUUUUUUUAUUAUUAUUAUUUAUUUAUUUACCUUUUUUAUUAUUAUUAUUAUUUUUAUUUUUAGUUAUUAUUUUCUUUUCUUUUCCUUUCCUGUUAUUAAGUGUUUUUUAUUAUUUCCGUUUUUUUUAUUAUUAUCUUUAUUAGUAUCUUCUUUUCGUUUUUUUUCGUUUUUUUAUUAUUAUUAUUAUUUUAUUUUUUAGUUUAUUUUUUUUUUUUUAUUUUGCUGUUUUAUAUUUUGCUUUUUUUCUUUCUUUUUCUUUCUUUUUCCUUUUCCUUUCCUUUUUUCUUUUUUCUUUUCGGUUUUCUCGGUCCAGGCCCAGAGGGGCUCUUCGUUUUUUUACCCUAAUUAUGACCUUUAAAUGCGGCAUUAAUUACUGUGCAUGUCAGAGAGAGAGGGCAGAGGUGAAUACGAACAGUCGGAAUACCAACAGCCAAGCCACCACUAACCAUCGGCCUAGCCACCGCUCAACACCACCCUCCCCCUCCGUGAACCACUAGCCACCACCAGCCACCACUCAGCAACACCCUCCUCCUCCGUGAACCACCAACAAAA
This 15307-nucleotide long non-coding RNA is filed under the name Glycine max (soybean). RNAcentral describes it as "long non-coding RNA (GMAX_LNC001485)". Lineage: Eukaryota; Viridiplantae; Streptophyta; Magnoliopsida; Fabales; Fabaceae. The record is from RNAcentral.